GACGAACGCUGGCGGCGUGCUUAACACAUGCAAGUCGAACGGAAAGGCCUCUUUCGGGGGGUACUCGAGUGGCGAACGGGUGAGUAACACGUGAGUAACCUGCCCUUGACUUUGGGAUAACUUCAGGAAACUGGGGCUAAUACCGGAUAGGAGCUCCUGCUGCAUGGUGGGGGUUGGAAAGUUUCGGCGGUUGGGGAUGGACUCGCGGCUUAUCAGCUUGUUGGUGGGGUAGUGGCUUACCAAGGCUUUGACGGGUAGCCGGCCUGAGAGGGUGACCGGCCACAUUGGGACUGAGAUACGGCCCAGACUCCUACGGGAGGCAGCAGGGGGGAAUAGUGCACAAUGGGUGGAAGCCUGAUGCAGCAACGCCGUGUGCGGGAUGACGGCCUUCGGGUUGUAAACCGCUUUCGCUCAUGACGAAGCUUUGUGUGACGGUAGUGGGUAAAGAAGCACCGGCUAACUACGUG
RNAcentral lists this ribosomal RNA (467 nucleotides) under uncultured bacterium. RNAcentral's name for it is "partial 16S ribosomal RNA". It matches the Rfam family "Bacterial small subunit ribosomal RNA", at positions 28 to 507 of the family's 1533-position model. The record is from RNAcentral.